GACGAACGCUGGCGGCGUGCUUAACACAUGCAAGUCGAACGGAAAGGCCUGCUUUCCCUUGUGGAUUGCGGGUACUCGCGUGGCGAACGGGUGAGUAACACGUGAGUGAUCUGCCCCCAACUUGGGUAUAAGCCUGGGAAACUGGGUCUAAUUCCCGAUAGGACUGCAGGGUGGUGCCUGUGGUGGAAAACGAUUUUCUAGUGGUUGGGGAUGAGCUCGCGGCCUAUCAGCUUGUUGGUGGGGUAAUGGCCUACCAAGGCGGCGACGGGUAGCCGGCCUGAGAGGGUGGACGGCCACAUUGGGACGGAGAUACGGCCCAGACUCCUACGGGAGGCAGCAGUGGGGAAUAUUGCACAAUGGGCGGAAGCCUGAUGCAGCGACGCCGCGUGGGGGAUGACGGCCUUCGGGUUGUAAACUCCUUUCGACCGCGAGGAAGCCACCUGGUUGGAAGGGUGGUGACGGUAGUGGUAGAAGAAGCACCGGCUAACUACGUG
Molecule: ribosomal RNA, 494 nt
Filed under: uncultured bacterium
Lineage: Bacteria
Description: partial 16S ribosomal RNA
Rfam family: Bacterial small subunit ribosomal RNA
Source: RNAcentral